GCCCCACCCCCUCGAGUAUAAAUAAGCGUGUUCUACGCACGUCAGUCCCUUUCAGCCAUAAUGUUGGAUUCGUGUAUUUUCAGAGAGGGCCUUUUAUGUGCAGAGACAAGUCUGGGAGAUACCUGGGUACCCUCCUGCAGGAUUUCUCUAAGAUAGGAGGUUAAGAAGAGGACUUUAAGAGCUAUGGUAUUACUUGGGAGUUGUGCAUAUGUGAUUUUUUUUUUUGCCUAAGGCUGCUGAUAGCUUUUUAAAUUUUUGUUUAUAAAAACAAUUUUCUCCAGUGAAAGUUGUAACUCUUAAAGAGCACAUUUCAAUGACUGUUAUAGCAACUGCAGCACUCUUGGUAUGGGUAGUCAGGUGUUUCACAAGGAUCAUUUAAGUGCACAAGGGGAUCAGUCUCCAAAACCAAAGGUAAAGUGGUAGAGAUCUUCAGAGACCUAGCAGCUGGAGGGGUGGUAAUUGAUUCUUCAUCAGAUAGGCAUAGGCUUUUUGAAAUUAGUGAAACAUCCAGAAGACCAAAAAAAAAAACAUGCUGACCACAGGUAUGAAGGAAAAACCCUUGUUAUGGGAUAGUUAAUUUUUACUGAUGAAAUUCACUUUUUCAUUCAAGGUAAUAAGGAAAUGUUUAGAGGAUUUUUCCCUUCCAGUAGUCCUGGAAGUCUUAAUCCAUUGAAGCAGCAAUGAACUCUGAUAAAUAUGUUGCUGUACUGAAAAUCUCAAGUGCAGAUGGAGUGCAGUAUUUUCUUGUACCCUACCACAUUUCCCAAAAUAAGUUUGCCCAAGAGAUGGAAAUAAAUGUUUCAUUGGCUUGGGAAGUCAACUGUUUUAAACCCCAUUGAAAACCUGUGGGAUAAGAAUCAAAGCUAGCCUAGAAGAAAUGGUCUCCUCAAAGGAACACUUGAUAGCCAGUGUAAAUGUUUUUUAAAAAUGGUUUCAUGAUGAAUUACAGAAUAUGUCGAUUCUGUGCCAAAUAGUGUAAAAGUGAUGGAAGCAAAGGAAUGAAAUGUUGCUUACUAAAGGUUGAAUAUUAAGAUGUGAAAACUGUAAAGUUUGUUGUGUGUACAUAAAAAUAAAUUUCAUUUACUUAAACCCA
Molecule: long non-coding RNA, 1093 nt
Organism: Gracilinanus agilis (Agile Gracile Mouse Opossum)
Lineage: Eukaryota; Metazoa; Chordata; Mammalia; Didelphimorphia; Didelphidae
Exons: 4
Source: RefSeq, a predicted model, not a curated record